CACCGCGGUUAUACGAGAGGCCCAAGUUGAUAGCCUCCGGCGUAAAGAGUGGUUAGGAAAAACCACAAACUAAAGCUGAAUUCUUUCAAGACUGUUAUACGUACCCGAAAGCAAGAAGCCCAACUACGAAAGUGGCUUUAAAUUUUCUGAACCCACGAAAGCUGGGAAA
This 169-nucleotide ribosomal RNA is filed under the name Doboatherina aetholepis (spatular-scale silverside). RNAcentral's name for it is "partial small subunit ribosomal RNA". The record is from RNAcentral. Lineage: Eukaryota; Metazoa; Chordata; Actinopteri; Atheriniformes; Atherinidae.